Callorhinchus milii (elephant shark) is the source of this 1696-nucleotide long non-coding RNA. RefSeq lists it as uncharacterized. The record is from RefSeq and is a predicted model, not a curated record. NCBI's taxonomy places the organism in Eukaryota, Metazoa, Chordata, Chondrichthyes, Chimaeriformes, Callorhinchidae. The transcript has 2 exons.
AAGGCGUGUGAUCUCGCGAUGUUCGCGCCCCCGCUGGCGGUUGCCGUGGCGACGGGGCCUGGCUCAGGCCGAGGGGUCCAAUAUCCAUAGUUCGUGACAUGAGGAAGGAGCUAUCAGUCUCAGACAACACACGUGAACCCACACCACAUCCAGAUUUAUGCCCCAAAACUCUUUAGUGCUUCUGCCCUCUCUCCUCUAACAAAGGAUAUUGAAUCCAGAUGUGAGCACAGUUAUUACUGUGCAAACACUUUUGAAACAAAAGCCCAAACAAUAUGGGCCAGAAAUUUGAGAAUAAUGGGGUUGACAACAUACUUUGCAAGCGGUCUGGAGUUGAAUUUAAUCAUGCUGUAUAUAUAGUACUUCAUGGCAUAUUUUGUGAUGGCUAAGUCAGUUCAGUGAUUAACAUAGGGCAAAGUGAACAGUAAAGUGUGUGAACUAGAAGAACAAUGUUGUGGACAGUGAGUGGUACAAUGAACUAUUUGAGUUUUGAUAGGAGUAUUUAUUCACUAAAAUAAAUGAUAUGAUGUAGCUAUGUAAUAUUGCAAAGGAAACUGGAAUGAAAUAAGUAACUGAGAAGACGACAGAAAGUUUGGGAUGGAAGUUAACAACAACAACAACAAAAUUACAUUUGUAUAGUGCCUUUCAUGUCGGGAGGACAUCCCAAGGCGCUGGGUUAAGGUUAGAGUUAAGGUAAAAUAUUUGGUACAGGGUAGUCCAACAGAUUGGACUAAGACAGUGUGUUGUAUAAAUUUUACCCCCCACCCACCACACACACAUUUAGUUGUUGGUAUCAAUUUUUGUAUUGUUUCUACCAUCUAGUGGCUGUGAGGGAGUAGCUUUAAUGGUGACCUAGUAGCAGAUCAUCAUCUUAUUCUCACUGUUGAAAGUCCUACAUUGCCCAGGAAGAUCAGACAGAUUAGAAACUUUUCCCUCCGCAAAAAUUACAAUUCAACAAUAUAUAUAACAGCGUUUAACUGACAUUAUUAACUAUGGAUGUUGUUGAAUUAGCAUUUCACGUAUAACACGGCCUCUGAGCUAUUUAACCCCACAUUAUAAUGAGGCUAUCCUGUACCAAUAAUUUCAUUCAUAUUUCAGAAGGCAUAAUUAAGAUGUUUGCCUUAAUAAAAUUAUGCAUUUGCAAAUGUAAAUUCCACUUGGCCUAGAUUUAUUUUAUUUUCAUUUUCUACAGAAUACACAGUCAUUAUACCUGAUGUGAAAGGCUUUACAGUGAAAUUCAUAGAAGUCUUAUCUUUAUAAAUCAUAUAAUUGCCAAUGGUACAUCAAGGUCAUAAAUAAAUACUAUGAUUUGUGAAUAUCAAAUGUCAUAGUUAAACUUAAGUACACAGCCAUGUGUACCAUCACUUCCUGUGAACAGAUAGGCCUCCAUCAUGACAAAGGCUUCCAUCCAAUGGAAUGCAUUAUAACUAUCAGUGGCCCUUGUACUGUAGUUGAAUGAAAAUAAUUUGUUUUGAUGAUUGUUGGUAGAAAAUAAUAGAAUAUUUUUACAUUACAUGUGUUUACCUCGUGUAAACCUCUCCCUUGCUCAGUGUCAAGCUCUUCCAUUGUUAAAUGCUCUGAGACAUAAUGCAUGAAAGUUGUUGGUGUAAUCCACAUUUCUUUCAUAAAAUAUGUUACACGAUAAAUUUUGUAUUAAGGAAAUGCAAUUAAUUAAAUUCAAAGCUACUUCGUUGUCCAA